RNAcentral lists this long non-coding RNA (214 nucleotides) under Elaeis guineensis (African oil palm). RNAcentral's name for it is "long non-coding RNA (EGUI_LNC063267)". Lineage: Eukaryota; Viridiplantae; Streptophyta; Magnoliopsida; Arecales; Arecaceae. The record is from RNAcentral.
GGCAUUGGGGGUCUUCUUAUAGAAGUUUGGCUGGCUCAUCUUUACUUGGGCUUCAAGUAGCUUGACGCCAAAGUGACUUGGUGGUGAAUCAUCUUUAAUAAAGUUAACUUGGAGGUGAAGUAAUCAUCUUUGCUUGAGAGUAAAGCAACUUGGUGACUUGUCGAGGAAUCAACUUUGUUGGUGACUUGUUGUCAGUGGACCAUCUGACUACUGU